ACUGGGGCUCAAGUCUCUCUGGCUGUUAAAUCGGCCCUCAGAGACUGCGACGGGGAGGGAGCAGCCUUGUGAAAGAAACCCAUCCAUUCUGCUUACCUGCUCACCUGCCAGGAUGUGGGCUUCUAUGGUCGCCGGUCGCUGUCAGCAGAAGCUUUGAGCAACUCAAAGCUUGGAGCAGUGGCUACUGGGACCACACCAUAAAGGCCCUGCACAAAAGCUCUGUCAAGGCUGUUUGUCAGGCAGAAGAGGUAGAGAUGGGGACACAGCCACAAGAUGCCACUCUUCAGAGUCUCUGGACCUGGUGUGCUGUCCUUUCUUUCCUCCAAGUGCUCAAUUUAUAGGCUGGUGAUUCAGGAUGAAGAUGGCAUCAGGUCUUGCAGAGCUCAGGACAGUCAACACUCCUGUUACCACAGCCACAUUCAAGUAAGUCAUCAGACUCCACUGUCAACUGCUUUUCCACAGAUUUCUUUGCCACAUGGCCUCUAGCAGAUAUUUCUCCAAGCUUCAUGAGCAAAGCUGCCUUCUCUAGUUACAACCUGGCCUACCUAAAGGCCAGAGUCCCCAGUGUGUGUCUCAGACAGCACCAGUCCCUGAAGCCCAUAGUAAAUAUUAGCACUUGUCCCAUUCAUACACGUUACUCCAGCCUUUCAAAAGGAGCCUAUGAAACUCUUCCCAAACCUUAUCAAAGACCAACUCUUGGGCUGGCGGAUGAUGCAGUCAGUAAACGAACUUGCUG
This 736-nucleotide long non-coding RNA is filed under the name Mus caroli (Ryukyu mouse). Its description in RNAcentral is "predicted gene 15895 (MGP_CAROLIEiJ_G0004149.1)". Lineage: Eukaryota; Metazoa; Chordata; Mammalia; Rodentia; Muridae. The record is from RNAcentral.